This 4539-nucleotide unclassified non-coding RNA is filed under the name Drosophila erecta. Its description in RNAcentral is "GG13944". Lineage: Eukaryota; Metazoa; Arthropoda; Insecta; Diptera; Drosophilidae. The record is from RNAcentral.
AAUAAAUAAAAACUGACUGUGGAAGUGAGAAAUGCGCGGCUGAUAAAGAUUGUGAUAAUCACGGUAUAAAACAAGAAAAACCGAAGAAUGAAAGGAAACCGCAACCAAAUUGGUUGAAUAAUAUUUAAGCCAACGCCAGUGCUGCAAAAAUCGGUGCGCAUUAUCAUUGGAACGUUCAGUGUUGCACAUCGUUGCCGCCCCACGCAUAAUCCAACACUCUCCCCCCUUCCCACCCAGAUCCACCCACUCUCACACAGACACACACCCUCGGAUACGGAUUCCUUCGUCUGCAUUAUAAUAUUGCGCUUAUUUCCUUUCGCGAGCUCAACGAUGCGACACGAUCAAUCCCUGGACAUUUUUAGUUUAUUUUGUUAAUUGUUGGAUGAUCCAUUAACUGCGUAAGGAGCACGUAGAUCAUUAUAAAAGACUUGGGAUCUUUGACGGAAGAAUUUAGUCAUGAGUCGCCUGCAGAAGCAAAACCACGAGAUCUUGAGCAGUGGUACAAGUAAGUCGCGUCGCAAGAAUCAGCAAAAUCCCCAUGAAUCGGGGUCACUAGCAUACGAGGAGCAGGAUCCAAUGGUGCGGAAUCAUUUGAAUGGCCACCUGGUGGCCAAUGGCAAUGGCAAUGCCAAAAAGCAGAAGAAUAGCAAAUCCGAGACGUUGACCAAUGGCAAAAAGGCCAAACUGAUUACGGAGGGAUCUGGCUCCAAUUCUGUCAAGACCUUGGCCUACAAUAAUAAUAACAAUAACAACAAUAGCAUCAGUGCCACAAACGGUCAGUACACCAAUAGCAGCAGCAAGACCACGUCAGCAUCUGCAAGGGAUUACACUUACCGCGAGACCAUAUCACCGCCCACACCUCCAUCUCCGCCCACCACAAAUGUGGCGGAGAUUGUUUGCAUAUCGGAUGCGGAGAGCGAGGAGGAGCGCGAUCCCGACCGGGACUACUACGACCAGGACACGGAGGAGGAGGAUCCAAGCGGGAGAGAGAUCAAUGAAUCGAGCUCCAGCAAGUCCAAGGCCAAGUCCAAUAAUGCAGCUGCAGCGGCGGCGGCUGCAGCAGCGGCAGCAGCAGCCUCGAUGGCUUCAUCCUCGGCCACGCCCUCCUACGCCAUGCCCACCAGCAAUAGUACGCCCCUCGAUCUGGACAAUGAGGCCCAUCAACGGGACCUGGAGGCGGUCACCGAUCUGCGAUCCUAUGUAAAAUUGUACAGUGACGAGGCCGUCAGUCUGAAUGAUUUCAAAAUAAUUCGCGUCCUAGGAACAGGUGCCUAUGGUCGGGUUUUCCUCGUUCGCAAGCUGACUAGACACGAUGCCGGAAAACUGUAUGCAAUGAAGGUUCUCAAUAAGAUAACGGUGGUGCAGAAGCGAAAAACAGCGGAACACACCAAAACGGAGAGAGUGGUACUGGAGGCUGUUCAACGUAGUCCCUUCCUCGUGAGUCUGCACUACGCCUUCCAGUCAUCUUCAAAGCUUUAUCUGGUGCUAGACUUUGCCAAUGGCGGUGAGCUCUUCACGCAUCUCUACCACUCUGAGAACUUCGAGGAGUCCCGGGUUCGUGUUUACAUAGCCGAGGUGGUGCUGGCUCUGGAGCAACUGCAUCAGUUGGGGAUUAUCUAUCGAGACAUUAAGUUGGAGAAUAUUUUGCUCGAUGGCGAGGGGCACAUUGUACUCUCCGACUUUGGACUGUCGAAGAUCCUUACCGCGGAGAAUGAAUACCGUGCGCACAGCUUCUGCGGCACUCUGGAGUACAUGGCUCCUGAGAUUAUUCGUACGGGGCCGCCGGGACACGACAGUGCCGUGGACUGGUGGUCGGUGGGUGUGCUCACUUUUGAGCUGCUCACCGGCGCUUCGCCAUUCGCUACGUCUGAUGGCCAGAGCCAGCAGUCGGAAAUCUCGCGGCGGAUUCAGAAGGAGCAGCCGUUGAUUCCCUCAUCGUUCAGUGCCAACGCCCGUGACUUUGUGCUAAAGAUGCUGGAGAAGAACCCAAAGCGACGGCUGGGAGGAAACCAUCGCGACGCCAGCGAAAUCAAGGAGCACCCCUUUUUCCACGGCAUUAACUGGCAGGAACUGCGGAACAAGCGUCGCAAGGCCCCCUAUAAGCCCACCCUCAACGCCGAGGACGAUGUCCAGAAUUUCAGCAACGAGUUUACCGACCAGGUGCCCGAAGAUCCCGAGUGCGAUGCCCCGCCUAGCCGGAUACGACUCUUCCGCGGCUACACAUACGUGGCGCCGGAGCAUUUGGAGCAGAUGCGACAGGAUAACAACUGUCACAUUCAAUACUGUAAUCCGGGACUUCAGAAUAUACCCUCUCGGCCUGAUGACCUUGAACUUGGCACCCGCACUGUUAGCGGAGCCUAUGGCACUUGCCAUUUUGUGGUGGACAGCUCUUCGGAGAUGGUGUUCAUGGCCAAAGUAAUACCGCUGUCCAAGUUCCGCCCCUCCGAGGUCGACGCGUUAAUCUCGUGCGCUCUCGACACGAACAGUCACAAGAACAUCGUCAGCUACCAUGGAACGUUCAGGGAUAAGUGCGAGACAUGGAUCAUAAUGGAGUACCUGUGCGGCGAGGAGCUAACCGCAUCCAUCCGCAUGGAUGAGGAUUCGUGUCGGGAGAUCUUUCUGCAGCUGGUUAUGGCUGUGCGGCACAUACACUCCAAGCACUUUAUUCACGGUGACCUGAAGCCGGAGAACGUAAUGUUCGAAAGCCGAGAGGACAAGAAUGUCAAAUUGGUCGAUUUUGGCAACGCAUGUUACAAUAGUCGUUUUCAAAGUUGGAAAGACAAGCCGCGUUACACGCUAGACUAUGCACCGCCUGAAAUGCUCGCGGAUGCGAAUCUCGUCACUUAUUCGCCAGCCGUGGAUAUAUACGGGCUUGGGGCCAUGCUGUAUACCAUGCUAGUGGGACAUCAGCCGUACAGACAGAACGAGGACGAUGUGGAUCACUCCGCAGCGGCCCAUCACGAGCUUCGCAAGCGAAUGCGGCGUGAAACGUUUAAUCAGCGUUCUAAGCGCUGGGAAAAUGCAAGUCCUGCGUUCCGACAUUUGGUGAGCUGGUGUCUGCAGCGGGAUCCGGCUGAUCGGCCCACAUUGUCAGAUAUUCUUGACAGCGAGUGGCUGCAGUACGGCUCAAAUGAUCCGGAUGUUGAUAUAAUUAUGCCGCUAGAGCAGCAGAUGGUUGUGGACCUCAGCGAAGAUACUAUGGAGCAACCGACGGCAGGUAUGUUAGUGGAGCAGGAACAUAUGGAAUCCACACACGACAAGUCGGCGGAAGAUGAUGGCAUAAUCCUAGUCAGCGAGCCCAUGGAAGCGACUGUCCUGGCUCACGAAUCUAGGAAAAAUACAGCCGCAUUACCCUCAGCUGUUGCUCCAUCCGACGACGAAGACUUGGUAGUGCACGAACGAUUUGACCCUGCCUUUGAGGUGCAACCGGACUUCUACGGCUUCGACGAGGAUGCGCCGCCCUUACCCCUUCCCGAGGAGUACUACAGUGAACUACCUCUGCCUGAGGAGGAUCGGCAGUACAUGCCACCUCCACCAGCUCCGGCUCCUGUUGAACCAGAAUCGACCUUCCGGCGGCCAAGAACGCGACAGCAGCGUCGCACUGAGAGCCAGCUAUUACACCCGGUUUCUACCGCUCCGCAGGAGGACAGCAAGGCGUCCCUGCGCCUACUAAUGCAGCAGCUGCCGCCGCCAGCUGAUACUGCGGUAGCACGCAUUCCGAAGAGAACCCAGCGAGUCGUACGUACAUUGCCUCCGUCCUUUGGAACUACAAAGCGAGAGGAGAGUUUCAAUGGAUUUAGUAAGACAGCAAUCUCGUGGCGAAAGACGCGGGCAAGCUGGAGGCAUUUCUGUCUGCUUAUCAAUGGUGUGCAGCAGGUGCUAAAGAUUCGGUUCAAAAAAACGCGUCGCGUCUACUGCCUGCCCAAUAUAAAAGUGGAAAAGCUUGAUCAUGCAUACGAGAAACCGCUGACGUUUCCGCGGCCCAGGGCGCAACUGAAGCGCGCCAAGCGGGAGCCCAAGGUGCCGCGGCCACCCACGCGAGUGCAACCGGAAAGGGCGCGGGCGCUGCGCCAACUUUAUCAGUUCCAAUGACAUGAGGAUGACGAGGAUGAUGAUGUGGAGGUGGUGGAAAUCAAGGAGGAGCCGCUAGGCGAUGGGGAGGAGCAACUGCGAGCGGUGCUGCAGUGGGAGGGCGACUUCAGGAGGCAACGGAUGUACAGCUGACCACACACAUUGACCCAAUGGCCCAUCCAGGACAACGACAACCAGACACCAGCCAAAACAGAGGGUGAACACCCAGCGGGUUUCAGCACCCAGCAACAAACCCACUAGCCCCCCUCACUAAGAAUCGUGACCAUGAGGGGAAGGAUCCGCAAGACGCACCAAAGAUCCUGUCAAUACAGUUUUUCAAUUGAAACUAAUGGGGAAAAGAAGUAUCGCCCGAAGAGCCAUUUCCACAUGAAACUGCGAAGUUCUUCUUUGAGAUUGUGCCGAAAAUAUAUCGUUUUUUGCACACAAUACUCAACUUUUGAGAACCGU